UGGGGAAUAUUGGACAAUGGGCGGAAGCCUGAUCCAGCCAUGCCGCGUGAGUGAUGAAGGCCUUAGGGUUGUAAAGCUCUUUCGCACGCGACGAUAAUGACGGUAGCGUGAGAAGAAGCCCCGGCUAACUUCGUGCCAGCAGCCGCGGUAAUACGAAGGGGGCUAGCGUUGUUCGGAUUAACUGGGCGUAAAGGGCGCGUAGGCGGGUUUUUAAGUCAGGGGUGAAAUCCCGAGGCUCAACCUCGGAACUGCCUUUGAUACUGGAAAUCUUGAGUCCGGGAGAGGUGAGUGGAACUGCGAGUGUAGAGGUGAAAUUCGUAGAUAUUCGCAAGAACACCAGUGGCGAAGGCGGCUCACUGGCCCGGUACUGACGCUGAGGCGCGAAAGCGUGGGGAGCAAA
RNAcentral lists this ribosomal RNA (400 nucleotides) under uncultured bacterium. RNAcentral's name for it is "bacterial SSU rRNA". It matches the Rfam family "Bacterial small subunit ribosomal RNA", at positions 355 to 772 of the family's 1533-position model. The record is from RNAcentral.